GUGUGUGUGUGUGUGUGUGUGUGUGAGAGAGAGAGAGAGAGAGAGAGAGAGAGAGAGAGAGAGAGAACCAGGCUCUCCUCCUGACAGUUGUGGAAUGCGUUUCCCCUCCUCCAUUUAUGGGUUUUUACAGAAUUUAAAA
This is a long non-coding RNA of Alosa sapidissima (American shad), 139 nucleotides long. RefSeq lists it as uncharacterized. The record is from RefSeq and is a predicted model, not a curated record. NCBI's taxonomy places the organism in Eukaryota, Metazoa, Chordata, Actinopteri, Clupeiformes, Clupeidae. The transcript is spliced from 2 exons.